AAUGCUUUCAUUCGGUUCACGCUUCGCUUUUAUUUUCUCGUCAAUUAGAGAUUUAUUAUUUAUUGUUAUUUGCGCGCAUAUCGGCUCGGCUCCAAAGUAGAAGAAUCCGUGCACGCCAACUCAAGUCGAAUGCAAUCCUCGCCGAUAAUUUCAUCCGGCGCAAAGCCACACGCACAGUGGUCUCCUCUGAAUCCCAUCAGUAGUAGGGUCAAAUCCCUCUACACUCGGCCGCCGAAUACCUUCGACGAUUCCUCUUCCAAAUCCGCCGGCCGAAUGGCUUCCCCCAAAUGGGCUCAGAAGACUAUUACUCUCCCGCUGCUGGGGCGCGGUUGUCAUCUCAUCACCCCCAAGAUUGUGAGGGAAAUUGGUGAAGAUUUGUCAGGAUUCAAAUGUGGCCUUGCACAUCUCUUCUUGCAACAUACAAGUGCUUCUCUGACUAUAAAUGAAAAUUAUGACUCUGAUGUCCGAGAAGAUACGGAGACAUUCCUUAACAGGAUUGUUCCAGAGGGGAUGUCUGCACCUUGGAAACAUACAUUGGAAGGUCCAGAUGACAUGCCAGCACACAUCAAAUCAUCCAUGUUUGGCUGUGCACUGACGAUUCCAAUUACGAAUGGAGAACUUAACAUGGGAACUUGGCAGUAUUAGCCAGAGGGGUUUUUGCUGCAGAAGUUGUUUUGUAAAUGGUGGUGAGACUUUUGGAUAGAAGAGGAGAAGAAGAAUGAUAUAGGGAGGGGCAUAUGGCUGUGUGAGCACCGAGACUAUCCAACUGCUCGGAAAAUAGUUGUUACUCUUAAUGGAAUUUGAGGUGAUAACAGUGAUAGAUGUUGACAUUUUAAAUCUUUUUGCUUCUAUUUUCUGAAACAAAUGUGUGUAUUGGCAGUUAGUGCUGAAGUUAUACACUUUAGUUUAAUAUAUAACAUUAGACUCCAAUUUAUCA
This is an RNA transcript of Diospyros lotus (date-plum), 937 nucleotides long. RefSeq lists it as uncharacterized. The transcript has 8 exons. NCBI's taxonomy places the organism in Eukaryota, Viridiplantae, Streptophyta, Magnoliopsida, Ericales, Ebenaceae. The record is from RefSeq and is a predicted model, not a curated record.